CCUACGGGAGGCAGCAGUGAGGAAUAUUGGACAAUGGGCGCAAGCCUGAUCCAGCCAUGCCGCGUGCAGGAAGACGGUCCUAUGGAUUGUAAACUGCUUUUAUACAGGAAGAAACACACCCUCGUGAGGGAGCUUGACGGUACUGUAAGAAUAAGGAUCGGCUAACUCCGUGCCAGCAGCCGCGGUAAUACGGAGGAUCCAAGCGUUAUCCGGAAUCAUUGGGUUUAAAGGGUCCGUAGGCGGUUUAAUAAGUCAGUGGUGAAAUCUGGUCGCUCAACGAUCAAACGGCCAUUGAUACUGUUAGACUUGAAUUAUAAGGAAGUAACUAGAAUAUGUAGUGUAGCGGUGAAAUGCUUAGAUAUUACAUGGAAUACCAAUUGCGAAGGCAGGUUACUACUUAUGGAUUGACGCUGAUGGACGAAAGCGUGGGGAGCGAACAGGAUUAGAUACCCUGGUAGUCCACGCCGUAAACGAUGGAUACUAGCUGUUCGGAGCAAUCUGAGUGGCUAAGCGAAAGUGAUAAGUAUCCCACCUGGGGAGUACGUUCGCAAGAAUGAAACUCAAAGGAAUUGACGG
This 576-nucleotide ribosomal RNA is filed under the name uncultured bacterium. RNAcentral's name for it is "bacterial SSU rRNA". It matches the Rfam family "Bacterial small subunit ribosomal RNA", at positions 338 to 916 of the family's 1533-position model. The record is from RNAcentral.